RNAcentral lists this ribosomal RNA (468 nucleotides) under uncultured bacterium. Its description in RNAcentral is "partial 16S ribosomal RNA". It matches the Rfam family "Bacterial small subunit ribosomal RNA", at positions 28 to 507 of the family's 1533-position model. The record is from RNAcentral.
GACGAACGCUGGCGGCGUGCUUAACACAUGCAAGUCGAACGGAAAGGCCCUGCUUUUGUGGGGUGCUCGAGUGGCGAACGGGUGAGUAACACGUGAGUAACCUGCCCUUGACUUUGGGAUAACUUCAGGAAACUGGGGCUAAUACCGGAUAGGAGCUCCUGCUGCAUGGUGGGGGUUGGAAAGUUUCGGCGGUUGUGGAUGGUCUCGCGGCUUAUCAGCUUGUUGGUGGGGGAGUGGCUUACCAAGGCUUUGACGGGUAGCCGGCAUGAGAGGGUGAACGGCGACAUUGGGACUGAGAGACGGAGCAGAAUCGAACGGGAGGCAGCAGUGGGGAAGAUGGCAGAAUGGGCGGAAGCGUGAUGCAGAAACGCCGCGUGCGGGAUGACGGGCUUCGGGUUGUAAACCGAUUUCGCAUGUGACGAAGAGGGAGUGACGGUAAUGGGUAAAGAAGCACCGGCUAACUACGUG